ACGCGAAGAACCUUACCAGGUCUUGACAUCCUCGGAACUUGGCAGAGAUGCCUUGGUGCCUUCGGGAACCGAGAGACAGGUGCUGCAUGGCUGUCGUCAGCUCGUGUCGUGAGAUGUUGGGUUAAGUCCCGUAACGAGCGCAACCCUUGUCCUUAGUUGCCAGCGCGUAAUGGCGGGAACUCUAAGGAGACUGCCGGUGACAAACCGGAGGAAGGUGGGGANGACGUCAAGUCAUCAUGGCCCUUACGACCUGGGCUACACACGUGCUACAAUGGAACGCACAGAGGGUUGCAACCUCGCGAGAGUGAGCCAAUCCCACAAAACGUUUCGUAGUCCGGAUCGGAGUCUGCAACUCGACUCCGUGAAGUCGGAAUCGCUAGUAAUCGCGGAUCAGAAUGCCGCGGUGAAUACGUUCCCGGGCCUUGUACACACCGCCCGUCACACCAUGGGAGUGGGUUGCUCCAGAAGUGGUUAGCCUAACCUUCGGGGGGG
Molecule: ribosomal RNA, 492 nt
Filed under: uncultured bacterium
Lineage: Bacteria
Description: bacterial SSU rRNA
Rfam family: Bacterial small subunit ribosomal RNA
Source: RNAcentral